This is a long non-coding RNA of Oryzias melastigma (Indian medaka), 680 nucleotides long. RefSeq lists it as uncharacterized. NCBI's taxonomy places the organism in Eukaryota, Metazoa, Chordata, Actinopteri, Beloniformes, Adrianichthyidae. The transcript is spliced from 2 exons. The record is from RefSeq and is a predicted model, not a curated record.
GUCACACACCGCCUGGAUGGGCAGUUUUCCCUUGAUAGGGGUCGUUGGGUUCCGCGGCUUCAGCUGGACAAUGGUGUUGGCUUUUCGCUUCAGGCCUUCCAGGCAACAGUCACAUGAGAAGGAGAAAAAGAAACUCUUCAAAGCAUCACCUCUAUCGUCUUCCUGGCGGGGUGUCCGUCUCUCAGCAGUUUGUCGCCUGUCGCCUGGACGCCGUUCACCUUCUUUUCCCGGAGUUCCAGCUCUCUCAUCAAACCCUGUGGAGCAGCAGAACCACCGUCAUUCCACUGAGAUCAAACCAGCGGGAAAGAGGGAGUCACUUUGUCACGCUACCGAGUAGUUGUCCUUCUUGGACACCAUGUUGGUGUUUCGUUCGCUCCAGUCGUAGUUGACCUCCUCCUCCUCCUUCUCAUUGAGCCACAUGAGUUCUUUGGUCGCUGCACUGACAAAAGUGUGGAGCUCCACUAGGGAGCGCAAACGGGCCUUUGAUGCGGUCUGCAGGGACACAGAAGAAUGAGAUAAAGGAAUUAUUUUGGACCUCUUCCUACAUUUUCACUAACUAUUCCUCUGACUCACCAGGAGCUUUCCGUACUGAAGCUCCAGUUUUCCCAGAUACUCGCGGUAUGCUGGUUUACUGACGGGUGAAAUCUGACCCUGGAAAAGAAAAAAAAAAAAGAAAAAAA